This 177-nucleotide unclassified non-coding RNA is filed under the name soil metagenome. RNAcentral's name for it is "partial internal transcribed spacer 1". The record is from RNAcentral.
CACAAUAAACAUAUGAAGGCUGCACCGCCAACAGGUGGCAAGGCUGGAGUAUUUUAUUACCCUUGUCUUUUGCGCACUUGUUGUUUCCUGGGCGGGUUCGCCCGCCUCCAGGACCACAUGAUAAACCUUUUUUAUGCAGUUGCAAUCAGCGUCAGUACAACAAAUGUAAAUCAUUUA